This 13213-nucleotide long non-coding RNA is filed under the name Aquilegia coerulea. RNAcentral's name for it is "long non-coding RNA (ACOE_LNC002241)". The record is from RNAcentral. Lineage: Eukaryota; Viridiplantae; Streptophyta; Magnoliopsida; Ranunculales; Ranunculaceae.
AAAAUUAAAUUGGGCCUGGAAUAUAUAAGGUAGUGUAACCUGGGUUAAUCACAUAGGUGUAUUAUUCUUGAAUAGGGUUUUGAGUAAGUCAAUAAUAAAAACAUUCUGAUUAUCAGUCUCUAUAAUCUAAAUGGUGAUCUUAUGAGAAAUCACUUCAAAUAAGUGCAAUCAGUGAACAUGUAAUAAACAGAAAAACAAUCAAUAUGUAGCAACAAGUGGUGAGGUCAGGGCAGUUCAUCAUAUUGUUAAGAUAAAUGGGUAACGCCAAGUUUUCUCUGAACUUGUAGUAACCUCUAAAGGUUUUUUUUUUGGACAGUUUAUUUGUAGCUCUUGUAUAUUUUGACACUAUCAACGCAAUAUGAGCAGGAGAUAUCUUCAAAUUUGGGAUUGAACAAAGAGCAUCCACACGUUUGUUGCUAUAAAAAGGCUCAUGUACUCACUUCUUUGGGUGUGGGUCCAAAAUGCCUGCAACAACAAAAGCAUAAUCUUAAUCCAAAUUUUUGCGGAAACCUAAAAUUAUAUCAUUUGAAUUAGUGACAAGCAGAACUAAUACAUUCUCUAUCUUGCAAUCAAUAGAUACUAUGGGAUCCAAAUACCGGAAUGCAAGAGUCGAGUGAGCAGUGAGUAGUUCAUCUAACCCUGACCGCUUACUAUAAGAAUAAAGUUAGUAAUUUUCGAGUCUACUCCGUAGGGUUUAAUAUAAAAUUAACUAAUCAACAAAAUAAAACUAUGACUUGCUUGCGUUAAUUAAUUUUCAAUUUAACCAUAUAUUUGACAUCUACAUUCUCUGUAAUGUAAAUUAUGGAAGAAUGGAAUGAUUGCAUGAACAUUAAAGUAAGAUAGAUCUAAUAUGUAAUAUAUAAAUUACUUAUGGAAGUAGCCAUGACUCGUUAAUUAAAAGUCUUCUGAACUCAUAUAGAGAUAAAUUCUAAAGGUUAUAACAACCUUUAUGAUAUAGCUCUUUACGAAUUGGUAAUGACGCGCCUUGCUACAGAAAGCUAUAUUACGUAUUUAUCGCCAUAGAGAGAAGCAAGGAAACUUUUGCUUUGUUUCUAAUUUUUUUUUCCUUCAAUGUGUCCUCGUGAAUAUCUCAUGAAUUUUGCUUUAAGGUCCUUUCGUUGCAAUAAUUAGUUGAUUCGUUCAAAGCAUAGAGAACAAAACUUAGUUCUCUGUAUUAUAUAUUAAUCCCAUAACAAUCAAAACCAAAAGAUCUUUGAGUAAUUGGUUGAAGCAUAAGCUCAUUUACCCUAAGAGGGCAUUGGCCUCUUAAUGAUGUGAUUAUUAAUUCGGUAUGAAUUUUGUAGUACAGUACCAUGUAUUGAGAAGUAUACUUUUUAUUCUGAUGUUAAGACACUUGCGUUCAUAACAAAAAUUUAGUACCCAAAAACAAAUGAACUUCAGGAAACAAUUUCACAGGUUGUGUUUUAUAUUAGAAACUGUAGAAAUUUUUCACAUGUUGGACUGUUGUUUAACCUCUAACACAAUUAUGUUGCUACCAUAGAGUAAAUACUAAUAAUUCCUCUCCAUACGCAUGUGACAUAGUUCCAUGGUAAGGGUUAAUUGGCCACCAUGACGACCCCAUGUCGUCUUUAUUCAAAUAUGAGAAUGUUUAAUAGUAAGUAUUUGAUGCAUAUGCAUAAAGAUAGCAUGUGCAAGGCACAUGCCUCAUAAUUCCUGCAGAUUCCUAUAUGGAUUAGAACAUCCCUAGUAGUAGUUUCUAUUUACUUAGCUUUCUAGUGUAGUUAGAAUUAGGUUUAGGUUAUUAUAAAUAGGGGAUUGCAAACCCUAUUAAGUAGGUUAGAUUGAAGAUUUGUUUAUGUCUUGAGACAUUAAAUUCGUUUUUGUGAAGAACCCAAGUUUUUGGGUGUUCAAACCAUUUAUUUAAUUGGUGUUCUUAUUAUUGUUUGCUUCCGCCGAUAGUAGUACAUCAAAAUUGGUAUCAAGAGCUUGUUUUUUCUGGGUUUAAAAGAUAAAAACCUGAUUUUUUUUACAAGAGUCGCGUUCAUGUUGGUGAUUUGAAGAUGGGUUAUCGUAGAAGAGGUCAAAGAGAGUUUUCGCCGCCGUCGGAUCUUUGGAGUUUACAAGAAUCGAAGCGUUAUACCGAUUCUGAAUAUAAAGCUCCCAACUUUGAUCCUAGCCGCCGCUUUCCUCUUUCUAGAAGGUAUGAACCUCCCUCUUCCUCUCGUUCCCCUUCUCCCCCACGCAGGCGACGUCGUAGUUAUUAUGACGAUGGAUAUUAUUCCCACCACCAGCAGGACACACACCUUCCACGAUGUGGUUUUCAGCAACAAUAUGUUGCUUAUGGUGCUAAAUAUUCUCAUGGAAACCGUCCAAAGACUUAUGAUCACGAUGGUCUUCGUAGUCGCAAUUCUAAGGUUACUCCGUAUGGAGAAUACCCACACUAUAUUGAAUCUGAAAUCGAUUCUAAGAGCGAUGCCUCCAUGACGUCAACAAGCAUACAAAAAGAUUUGAAAGAACUUUUAAAUUGCUUUACUAAAUUAAAAAGUCAAUUUGCGUCUUUUAAGGAAGAAUUUGUUGAAGAAGAGAAACGACUUGACAAAGAAGCGGAGAUUAAUUUUUUACUCAACAUGUUUGAUGACGAAAAAUACGUCACUCGUACUCGAAUUGGUGGUUUACAAAGUUACAAUCUUGUUGAUUUCUUUUCCGUUUUUGGUGAUGAUAGUGAUGAUACAUCUAGUUUUGUGUCUCUUGAGUUAGAAGUUGCAUGUGUGGAUCAAGUAGAAGAUUUGAUUGAAAACUCUGCAAGGGAGAUAAAUAAGAAGUUCUAUUUGUUGCCCAAGCAAGGAAACCUGGUUGUUGUCCAUGACAAUGGUAAAGAGGAUGAACGUUCUCGGAAUUUCGCUCAUCACUCCCAUGAAUCGAUGAAUUCCAUUGAUUCCGACCGACAAAUUGAUGAUUUUUAUCAUCCCCACAAAUUCCGUCCCAUAAAAGUAAUUGGUAAUUUGUUUGGUGGUUAUGUUGAUCCUUAUCUAUUCCAAGAUGAGAAUGGAUUUUCUCCAUGGAGGGACAAACACCAUCAAUUCUUAUUUCUUGACAUGCGGCUAUAUUAUUCCAAUCAAUUGGGUUGUCCUUUGAACUUUGGAGGAUGUUAGUACACAAACUCGAGGACGAGUUUUUUUCAAGUUGGGGGGAUUUGAUGCAUAUGCAUAAAGAUAGCAUGUGCAAGGAACAUGCCUCAUAAUUCCUGCAGAUUCCUAUAUGGAUUAGAACAUCCCUAGUAGUAGUUUCUAUUUACUUAGCUUUCUAGUGUAGUUAGGAUUAGGUUUAGGUUAUUAUAAAUAGGGGAUUGCAAACCCUAUUAAGUAGGUUAGAUUGAAGAUUUGUUUAUGUCAUGAGACAUUAAAUUCGUUUUUGUGAAGAACCCUAGUUUUUGGGUGUUCAAACCAUUUAUUUAAUUGUUCUUCACAAAAACGAAUUUAAGGUCUCAAGACAUAAACAAAUCUUCAAUCUAACCUCCUUAAUACGGUUUCCAAUCCCCUAUUUAUAAUAACUUAAACCUAAUCCUAACUACACUAGAAAGCUAAGUAAAUAGAAACUACUACUAGGGAUGUUCUAAUCCAUAUAAGAAUCUGCAGGAACUAUGAGGCAUGUGCCUUGCACAUGCUAUCUUUAUGCAUAUGCAUCAAAUCCCCCAACUUGAAAAAACUCGUCCUCGAGUUUGUGUACUAACAUCCUCCAAAGUUCAAAACGACUCUCGUACAUCAACCUUAACCUUACUUUGGUGCAGAAAAUCCGGCCAUGAAUCUUCCCCAAAUAGUUGCUCGCAGAAAGAAUGAUGGGCAUUAAUGUCAUAGGUGCAUCAUUAGGACAACCCAAUUGAUUGGAACAAUAUAGCCGCAUGUCAAGAAAUAAGAAUUGAAGGUGUUUGUCCCUCCAUGGAGAAAAUCCAUUCUCAUCUUGGAAUAGAUAAGGAUCAACAUAACCACCAAACAAAUUACCAAUUACUUUUAUGGGACGGAAUUUGUGGGGAUGAUAAAAAUCAUCAAUUUGUCGGUCGGAAUCAAUGGAAUUCAUCGAUUCAUGGGAGUGAUGAGCGAAAUUCUGAGAACGUUCAUCCUCUUUACCAUUGUCAUGGACAACAACCAGGUUUCCUUGCUUGGGCAACAAAUAGAACUUCUUAUUUAUCUCCCUUGCAGAUUUUUCCAUCAAAUCUUCUACUUGAUCCACACAUGCAACUUCUAACUCAAGAAACACAAAACUAGAUGUAUCAUCACUAUCAUCACCAAAAACGGAAAAGAAAUCAACAAGAUCGUAACUUUGUAAACCACCAAUUCGAGUACGAGUGACGGAUUUUUCUUCUUCAAACAUGUUGAGUAAGAAAUUAAUUUCCGCUUCUUUGUCAAGUCGUUUCUCUUCUUCAACAAAUUCUUCCUUAAAAGACGCAAAUUGACUUUUUAAUUUAGUAAAGCAAUUUAAAAGUUCCUUCAAAUCUGUUUGUAUGCUUGGUGACGUCAAGGAGGCAUCGCUCUUAGAAUCGAUUUCAGAUUCAAUAUAGUGUGGGUAUUCUCCAUACGGUGUAACUUUAGAAUUGCGACUAUGAAGACCAUCGUGAUCAUAAGUCUUUGGACGGUUUCCAUGGGAAUAUUUAGCACCAUAAGCAACAUAUUGUUGCUGAAAACCACAUCGAGGAGGGUGCGUGUCCUGCUGGUGGUGGGAAUAAUAUCCAUUGUCAUAAUAACUAUGACGUUGCCUGCGUGGGGGAGAAGGGGAACGAGAGGAAGAGGGAGGUUCAUACCUUCUAGAAAGAGGAAAGCGGCGGCUAGGAUCAAAGUUGGGAGCUUUAUAUUCAGAAUCGGUAUAACGUUUCGAUUCGUGUAAACUCCAGCGAUCUUGCGGCAACGAAAAUUCUCUUUGACCUCUUCUACAAUAACCCAUCUUCAAAUCACCAACAUGAACGCGGCUCUUGUAAUAAAAAUCAGGUUUUUAUCUUCUAAACCCAGAAAAAACAAGCUCUUGAUACCAAUUUUGAUGUAAUACUAUCGGCGGAAGCAAACAAUAAUAAGAACACCAAUUAAAUAAAUGGUUUGAACACCCAAAAACUAGGGUUCUUCACAAAAACGAAUUUAAUGUCUCAAGACAUAAACAAAUCUUCAAUCUAACCUCCUUAAUAGGGUUUCCAAUCCCCUAUUUAUAAUAACCUAAACCUAAUCCUAACUACACUAGAAAACUAAGUAAAUAGAAACUACUACUAGGGAUGUUCUAAUCCAUAUAGGAAUCUGCAGGAACUAUGAGGCAUGUGCCUUGCACAUGCUAUCUUUAUGCAUAUGCAUCAAAUCCCCCCAACUUGGAAAAAACUCGUCCUCGAGUUUGUGUACUAACAUCCUCCAAAGUUCAAAACGACUCUUGUACAUCAACCUUAACCUUACUUUGGUGCAGAAAAUCCGGCCAUGAAUCUUCCCCAGAUAGUUGCUCGCAGAAAGAAUGAUGGACAUUAAUGUCAUAGGUGCAUCAUUAGGACAACCCAAUUGAUUGGAAUAAUAUAGCCGCAUGUCAAGAAAUAAGAAUUGAUGGUGUUUGUCCCUCCAUGGAGAAAAUCCAUUCUCAUCUUGGAAUAGAUAAGGAUCAACAUAACCACCAAACAAAUUACCAAUUACUUUUAUGGGAAGGAAUUUGUGGGGAUGAUAAAAAUCAUCAGUUUGUCGGUCGGAAUCAAUGGAAUUCAUCGAUUCAUGGGAGUGAUGAGCGAAAUUCCGAGAACGUUCAUCCUUUUUACCAUUGUCAUGGACAACAACCAGGUUUCCUUGCUUGGGCAACAAAUAGAACUUCUUAUUUAUCUUACUUGCAGAUUUUUCAAACAAAUCUUUUACUUGAUCCACACAUGCAACUUCUAACUCAAGAGACACAAAACUAGAUGUAUCAUCACUAUCAUCACCAAAAACGGAAAAGAAAUCAACAAGAUUGUAACUUUGUAAACCACCAAUUCGAGUACGAGUGACGUAUUUUUCUUCUUCAAACAUGUUGAGUAAGAAAUUAAUCUCCGCUUCUUUGUCAAGUCGUUUCUCUUCUUCAACAAAUUCUUCCUUAAAAGACGCAAAUUGACUUUUUAAUUUAGUAAAACAAUUUAAAAGUUCCUUCAAAUCUUUUUGUAUGCUUGGUGAUGUCAUGAAGACAUCAUCCGGAUAAUGAGCCUGCUGCAGCAGUAAAAUCUGCUGGUUGUUGCUGUUAGAGACUUGUGAUGGGUGAACAAUUGAGGUGGAAGUGUAGAGGCUUGACGGUGCAAGGGCUGCAACCAAACUCUUCAUAAUGGGAACAUUACCAAACUCAAAUUCUGCACUAGUUUCAUCAUCAGAAUAUUCAACACACAAAGAAUCAUUAUCACAACAACUUUCCUCGUCAGAAAACUCAUCUUCUUCAUAAUCAAUCAUGGAGUCAUCGUUCCUAGAAUCGAUUUCAGAUUCAAUAUAGUAUGGGUAAUCUCCAUACGAAGUAACCUUAGAAUUGCGAUGACGAAGACCAUCGUGAUCAUAAGUCUUUGGACGGUUUCCAUGGGAAUAUUUAGCACCAUAAGCAACAUAUUGCUGCUGAAAACCACAUCGAGGAGGGUGCGUGUCUUGCUGGUGGUGGGAAUAAUAUCCAUCGUCAUAAUAACUAUGACGUCACCUGCGUGGGGGAGAAGGGGAACGAGAGGAAGAGGGAGGUUCAUACCUUCUGGAAAGAGAAAAACGGCGGCUAGGAUCAAAGUUGGGAGCUUUAUAUUCAGAAUCGGUAUAACGCUUCGAUUCUUGUAAACUCCAAAGAUCCGACGGCGGCGAAAACUCUCUUUGACCUCUUCUACGAUAACCCAUCUUCAAAUCACCAACAUGAACGCGACUCUUGUAAAAAAAAUCAGGUUUUUAUCUUUUAAACCCAGAAAAAACAAGCUCUUGAUACCAAUUUUGAUGUAAUACUAUCGGCGGAAGCAAACAAUAAUAAGAACACCAAUUAAAUAAAUGGUUUGAACACCCAAAAACUAGGGUUCUUCACAAAAACGAAUUUAAUGUCUCAAGACGUAAACAAAUCUUCAAUCUAACCUCCUUAAUAGGGUUUCCAAUCCCCUAUUUAUAAUAACCUAAACCUAAUCCUAACUACACUAGAAAGCUAAGUAAAUAGAAACUACUACUAGGGAUGUUCUAAUCCAUAUAGGAAUCUGCAGGAAUUAUGAGGCAUGUGCCUUGCACAUGCUAUCUUUAUGCAUAUGCAUCAAAUUGAAAAAAACUCGUCCUCGAGUUUGUGUACUAACAUCCUCCAAAGUUCAAAACGACUCUUGUACAUCAACCUCAACCUUACGUUGGUGCAGAAAAUCCGGCCAUGAAUCUUUUCCAAAUAGUUGCUCGCAGAAAGAAUGAUGGACAUUAAUGUCAUAGGUGCAUCAUUAGGACAACCCAAUUGAUUGGAACAAUAUAACCGCAUGUCAAGAAAUAAGAAUUGAAGGUGUUUGUCCCUCCAUGGAGAAAAUCCAUUCUCAUCUUGGAAUAGAUAAGGAUCAACAUAACCACCAAACAAAUUACCAAUUACUUUUAUGGGACGGAAUUUGUGGGGAUGAUAAAAAUCAUCAAUUUGUCGGUCGGAAUCAAUGGAAUUCAUCGAUUCAUGGGAGUGAUGAGCGAAAUUCUGAGAACGUUCAUCCUCUUUACCAUUGUCAUGGACAACAACCAGGUUUCCUUGCUUGGGCAACAAAUAGAACUUCUUAUUUAUCUCCCUUGCAGAUUUUUCCAUCAAAUCUUCUACUUGAUCCACACAUGCAACUUCUAACUCAAGAAACACAAAACUAGAUGUAUCAUCACUAUCAUCACCAAAAACGGAAAAUAAAUCAACAAGAUCGUAACUUUGUAAACCACCAAUUCGAGUACGAGUGACGUAUUUUUCUUCUUCAAACAUGUUGAGUAAGAAAUUAAUCUCCGCUUCUUUGUCAAGUCGUUUCUCUUCUUCAACAAAUUCUUCCUUAAAAGACGCAAAUUGACUUUUUAAUUUAGUAAAACAAUUUAAAAGUUCCUUCAAACCUUGUUGUAUGCUUGGUGACGUCAUGGAGGCAUCAUCUGGAUAAUGAGGCUGCUGCAGCAGUAAAAUCUGUUGGUUGUCGCUAUUAGAAACUUGUGAUGGGUGAACAACUGAGGUGGAUGUGUAGAGGUUUGACGGUGCAAGGGCUGCAACCAAACUCUUCAUAAUGGGAACAUUACCAAACUCAAAUUCUGCACUAGUUUCAUCAUCAGAAUAUUCAACACACAAAGAAUCAUUAUCACAACAACUUUCCUCGUCAGAAAACUCAUCUUCUUCAUAAUCAAUCAUGGAGUCAUCAUUCCUAGAAUCGAUUUCAGAUUCAAUAUAGUAUGGGUAAUCUCCAUACGAAGUAACCUUAGAAUUGCGACUACGAAGACCAUCGUGAUCAUAAGUCUUCGGACGGUUUCCAUGGGAAUAUUUAGCACCAUAAGCAACAUAUUGUUGUUGAAAACCACAUCGAGGAGGGUGCGUGUCCUGCUGGUGGUGGGAAUAAUAUCCAUCGUCAUAAUAACUAUGACGUCGCCUGCGUGGGGGAGAAGGGGAACGAGAGGAAGAGGGAGGUUCAUACCUUCUGGAAAGAGAAAAACGGCGGCUAGGAUCAAAGUUGGGAGCUUUAUAUUCAGAAUCGGUAUAACGCUUCGAUUCAUGUAAACUCCAGCGAUCCGGCGGCGACGAAAAUUCUCUUUGACCUCUUCUACGAUAACCCAUCUUCAAAUCACCAACAUGAACGCGGCUCUUGUAAUAAAAAUCAGGUUUUUAUCUUCUAAACCAAGAAAAAACAAGCUCUUGAUACCAAUUUUGAUGUAAUAUUAUCGGCGGAAGCAAACAAUAAUAAGAACACCAAUUAAAUAAAUGGUUUGAACACCCAAAAACUAGGGUUCUUCACAAAAACGAAUUUAAUGUCUCAAGACAUAAACAAAUCUUCAAUCUAACCUCCUCAAUAAGGUUUGCAAUCCCCUAUUUAUAAUAGCCUAAACCUAAUCCUAACUAAACUAGAAAGCUAAGUAAAUAGAAACUACUACUAGGGAUGUUCUAAUCCAUAUAGGAAUCUGCAGGAACUAUGAGGCAUGUGCCUUGCACAUGGUAUCUUUAUGCAUAUGCAUCAAAUCCCCCCAACUUGAAAAAAACUCGUCCUCGAGUUUGUGUACUAACAUCCUCCAAAGUUCAAAACGACUCUUGUACAUCAACCUCAACCUUACGUUGGUGCAGAAAAUCCGGCCAUGAAUCUUCCCCAGAUAGUUGCUCGCAGANNNNNNNNNNNNNNNNNNNNNNNNNNNNNNNNNNNNNNNNNNNNNNNNNNNNNNNNNNNNNNNNNNNNNNNNNNNNNNNNNNNNNNNNNNNNNNNNNNNNUUGUUUGCUUCCGCCGAUAGUAUUACAUCAAAAUUAGUAUCAAGAGCUUGUUUUUUCUGGGUUUAAAAGAUAAAAACCUGAUUUUUUUUACAAGAGUCGCGUUCAUGUUGGUGAUUUGAAGAUGGGUUAUCGUAGAAGAGGUCAAAGAGAAUUUUCGCCGCCGUCGGAUCUUUGGAGUUUACAAGAAUCGAAGCGUUAUACCGAUUCUGAAUAUAAAGCUCCCAACUUUGAUCCUAGCCGCCGUUUUUCUCUUUCCAGAAGGUAUGAACCUCCCUCUUCCUCUCGUUCCACUUCUCCCCCACGCAGGCGGCGUCAUAGUUAUUAUGACGAUGGGUAUUAUUCCCACCACCAGGAGGACACGCACCCUCCUCAAUGUGGUUUUCAGCAGCAAUAUGUUGCUUAUGGUGCUAAAUAUUCCCAUGGAAACCGUCCAAAGACUUAUGAUCACGAUGGUCUUCGUAGUCGCAAUUCUAAGGUUACUUCGUAUGGAGAUUACCCAUACUAUAUUGAAUCUGAAAUCGAUUCUAGGAACGAUGACUCCAUGAUUGAUUAUGAAGAAGAUGAGUUUUCUGACGAGGAAAGUUGUGAUAAUGAUUCUUUGUGUGUUGAAUAUUCUGAUGAUGAAACUAGUGCAGAAUUUGAGUUUGGUAAUGUUCCCAUUAUGAAGAGUUUGGUUCCAGCCCUUGCACCGUCAAGCCUCUACACUUCCACCUCAAUUGUUCACCCAUCACAAGUCUCUAACAGCAACAACCAGCAGAUUUUACUACUGCAGCAGGCUCAUUAUCCGGAUGAUGUCUUCAUGACAUCACCAAGCAUACAAAAAGAUUUGAAGGAAGAUUAGACCCGACAAAUAUGAGAAUGAAUCUAGUAGGCACACAAAUCUUCUGAUCUAAAGGGUGGACAAUGUGCAAUUAAACUCAGACAAAACUGUAUCUAUUGAUCUCAGCCUACCAAUGUGGUCAAAUCCAUUACAAAUCGCAUACUACUCACACCAACAACAAUCAAGCAACAGUCUAUAUUACAAUGAUUACCUCGUAUAUCAUUAACACUGCAAAGGUAUGAUUGUGGUUAAUAACAGAUAAUAGCAUAUUGCAGCAAAAAGUUAAAGAAAUCGAUAUUGGAGUCUAACAGAAAUAUAAUGUUUCUAGUCUUAAACAGUGAGAUGAGUACACGCACAAAAGCAUAGCUGAAUACAUAGACUAAAAUGUUCAAGGAAGAAACUAAAAAAAAAAUAAAAAAUUACCUUGUAGCUGUGAUCGCUUUCAAAUCAAUUCAAAAUACCCUUCAAACUGGCACUCUGCGAUCAUUAAUAGCACACAUUUUUAGUUAAAAUGAACACACAAUAUCAGUACAAAUUCAACCAAUUUAAUAGAAAAUGAAGCCACUACUACAAUGUAUAACAACAAUUUGAUAUAAAAGUGAUCGUUUGAAAUUUCAUCCUAAUGUGCAAGGUUGGCAAGCAUGGCUCAACUCAAUAUUGCAAAUUGGGAAGGCCCAUUCAAGUUCAUCAAAUCAAAUGUAGGCCAAACUUUAUCAAGGAAUCACUUAUCUAGUAAAUUGUUCUAGAGAUUUUUGGACAUACCCCCCCAUUUGAAAAAAAAUUUGAGAUAGCCCCCCAAUUCAAGAUGUGGUGUUAUCUUAGCCGUCCAUCAUAAAACUCACCUACGGAUGAUAAAACUCACCUACGGAUGUAAAGCUCUUUUGUCUUGAAUUUGGGGGGUAUCUCAAAAAAAAUUUCAAAUGGGGGGGUAUCUCAAAUUUCGACUUUCAAAUGGGGGGUAUCUCAAAUUUCGACUUUCAAAUGGGGGGUAUGUAUUUGUAAAGAGAAAUAUAGUUCAACACUUUAACAUUUGAAGAUAAUUUUAACAUUUUCAAAAACAUUUUAAGAACAAAAAAUAAGAACUUGUUGAUCCUGUUAUGUUUAUUCCUGGAAAUUAAGAGAGAUCAAAAUUAAACUUUUAAAAAUCAAAGAUGAAGCUUAAUGUCAUUAAGAAACAAUCUGGUAAAACUAAUUGGUAUUCUUAAAGGCGUUAUCGCUGUGUAGCAUAUCUCUUUCUCAAGUCUAACAGGGUUCAGACCUCGCAUAUGCUUACCAGAGUAUCCUCAAAAAUCUUCAAUAAAAUUCCUAGACCAUGGCAGUGCCAACACAACAUUCAAAAACAUGUCUUAUACUCUGUUUGAUAGUGACUCAAGUAAACACCCCCCUCCACUCCCUUUUAUGGAAUACUCAAAUAACCCUAAAAGAUAUGAACUACCAGGUUUGGCUUAGCAAAUUGCUAGGCUUUAUUAUAAACAACACAGAGAUAUCACCACAUUCAAACAAAUAGCAAAUAAGUAUCACACCAAAAGAAAUUUCAAACACAAUAUAGUAGAGGCUGACUAGAUGUAAGAAAUAUACUAAUAUUAUAACUUUAACCACCUAAUGUUCUGUUACUAAACCUUUAUAUGUGUGAAUUCUUACUGUAGAUAUUAUCUUCACUCCGACUAAACCUAAUGUUCUGUUACUAAACCAUUUAGUAAAAUCUCAAUGCUUUACCAACUGAGCUAUUCACCCAAGAAUAUCAAGUAAUAAGAUUACUGAGGAAAUAAAUUAGGCUCCUCUUUUCAUCAUAUCACAGACAGGAAGCAGCUUCGUAUGAGGUUCAUACAUACUGCAGAACAAGUCUCGUGACCUGGUGUUGUUUCGGCCAUGGGAGAAUUGAUCUACAAAAAAGGCAAGUAUACCACACUUUGCCAUAAACAUAACUGAAGGUUUUUUUUAUAGGAGCAAGUUCCAUGACACCAUAGUAAAACGUUUCUUACUGCCAUACAACUUAACUACUCAGAAAUAUGGAAAUUCGAGUUAGUUUAGUACUAAAUAAGUAAAUAGUGAAUCCGAAUUAAAAAAAAAAUUAACAUUUGAUAUGAAUUAUAAGCUCAAGUGCCAAUGGAUUAUAAGUUGUGUUGUUGCUCAUCAACUUGUUCUGCCAUGAAGAAGAUUGUUCACUUCCAAGAAUUGUACAAGUAUGAUAUGAAUUUUCAGAUGGUCUUGGAUUUUGAUUGCUAGGUGGGCGAUAUUGGACAAUGGAUUGUAAAGUAUCUCGUGAUUGAAUAUCGAAACGAUUCCUCCUUUUUUACUCUACUGGUAAGUAUUCCUCAAAAGGACUAUGUGUUGAGAUAUCUGUGUAAAAUGUAAAUACUCUCGAUUAGUUGGGAGAACUGAUUUCUUUUCUUUCAUCUACUUAGUUGAAAUAUCAUAAAACUUACCUUGUUUCUAUUUCAAAAGAGUUCGUUCAAAGUAUGCAUACAGUCACGAAAACUACACGAAAGCAAAGAAGUGAAAGACCAAAUAUGGAACAGUAGAUAUGAAUGGAACAAUUUAUGUAGAAUAGAGAUUUAAUCGGCAAAAUUGUGAGCGUCAUUGACCCCCAAUAUUCUGGCAAUUCUUCGGGCUUAAGAUAUGGAUAAAACGUAUAUAUAUCAUCUAAGCUUUCUUAUUAUUCCUAUAAGAUGGAUAGAGAUGACAGUUCAUACUGUGGGUUUUGGACCAUCUACUAAACCUUCUCAUUUUGGAUGAAUUGGGGGUGAGAGUGAUUGUUAUGUACUAUAAUAGUGAUGCAAGAUAUUUGGUGGUUUUAACCUUAGCAUGCCUUGCAGCAAUUGUCUUCAUCUAAACAAGAAAUGAAAUCCCAAGAAGAAAACUCUACCUGGUCCAAAACCAUGGCCUAUUGUUGGCAAUUUACUCCAGCUUGAUAUCCAAAACAUAUGGGGAACUCAUGCAGGUCAAGUACGGUUCCCGAAAAGUCUUAGUUGCUUCAUCACCCAAAUAGGCAGAAACAUUUCUAAAGACAUGAUAGUGUGUUUGCAUCUAGGCCUCCUCUGGCCU